Molecule: small nuclear RNA, 107 nt
Organism: Meriones unguiculatus (Mongolian gerbil)
Lineage: Eukaryota; Metazoa; Chordata; Mammalia; Rodentia; Muridae
Source: Ensembl
GUGCUUGCUUUGACAACACAUAUACUAAAAUUGGAACAAUACAGAGAGGAUUAGCAUGAACCAUCCACUAGGACAACAUGCAAAUUCUUUAAGUGGUGCAUAUUUUU